AGGAUUAACGCUGGCGGCAUGCCUGACACAUGCAAGUCGAACGAGGCCGCAAGGCCGAGUGGCGGACGGGUGAGUAACACGUGACCAACCAACCUCGAAGUUGGGAAUAGCUCUGCGAAAGUAGGGGUAAUACCGAAUGUGGCCCAGGGCGGGCAUCCGCCUUGGUCUAAAGAUUCAUCGCUUCGAGACGGGGUCGCGGCCUAUUAGCUUGUUGGUGAGGUAACGGCUCACCAAGGCGAUGAUGGGUAGCUGGUCUGAGAGGACGACCAGCCACACUGGGACUGAGACACGGCCCAGACUCCUACGGGAGGCAGCAGUGAGGAAUCUUCCGCAAUGGGCGAAAGCCUGACGGAGCAACGCCGCGUGUGGGAUGAAGACUCUAGGGUUGUAAACCACUGUCGGAGGGGACGAUCGUGACGGUACCCCAACGAAAGACCCGGCUAACUACGUGCCAGCAGCCGC
RNAcentral lists this ribosomal RNA (462 nucleotides) under uncultured bacterium. Its description in RNAcentral is "SSU rRNA". It matches the Rfam family "Bacterial small subunit ribosomal RNA", at positions 26 to 518 of the family's 1533-position model. The record is from RNAcentral.